AACUCGGUGGUGUAGCGGUAGCACGCGUCUUCGGUUGGAUGAUGCGCUGGUUCGACUCCCGCUUGAGGUG
This is a non-coding RNA of Parelaphostrongylus tenuis, 70 nucleotides long. Lineage: Eukaryota; Metazoa; Nematoda; Chromadorea; Rhabditida; Metastrongylidae. The record is from the annotation of a GenBank genome assembly.